AGUCAAGGGAGGAAGUUCCUGGAGAAGUAGAAGUACUGCGUGGUUAGCGUCCGGUCACUCUUCAGAGCAGCCUUGUACUUACUACGUUUCAGUGUCUCUCCUUGCAGCUUUUCGUAACUUUAACGAACUAUGCUCCUUUCGUGUCUCAGUUUCUAUAUCUGUUUCGCCAAGCGCCGCUCGGAAGGGUUAAUUCAGGAGCGAGCCCUACUGGAAAAGGCGGCUUUGUGUGGAAGUUUGCACCUGGGAGGUGAGAGCUGGACGGAACGUUAAAGAGCCCUGAAGGCUUAACUCUACGCUUCUGAGGUUAAAAAAGAGAGAGAGAGAAAGAAACGGCUCCAGAAAGAGGCGGAUGACACCCCAGGUUACAUGGCAAAAAAGUGACUAAACUGAGAACUCAGGGCACCAAUCUCCCAGUUUCCCCAUUGAGAUUUCAUCCUGUUACAUUUCCCGGCAUCACCUUGUUCUUGCUUUGAACCCUUGCGACUUUUUUUUUGUAGAUGGAAAAGAUUCUUUUAGUUGGUAUUUGGAGACAUCUAGUGAAAGAAUAUGAAAGCAAAGGUCGAGUCCGCAAGUUCUGGUAGUUCGUGGAAUUAAAAAGUGAGCAUGAUUAGAGUUUACAGCUAAAAAUCCUUGGACUUGGAUCUGAAAUUUGCGAAGGUGCUACAAUUUGAUCAGGAGAGUGGGUAAAAUUAAUACUUGCAUUAUUGUUUUAAUUAUUUGUAGCUCUUUUUACUCUAAACGCUGACAUUUUUUUUUAAGGAAUGAAAAAAUGCGCCUUUAGAUAUUUUGAAAGGAUGUUAUUUCAGUAUAUGAGUUAAUACAUUCCGUGCAGCAGAAUCUUUAUUUGAAAGCACGCUUAUGGAUAAAGGUUAGUCUUUAGUUCACUUACUGAUUCCAUCUGCUCCAUUACCUAGUCUUGCUUAAGUUCUAAGUGCUUAAAAAACUCAUAAGCAGUUUACAGCUCUGCACUUUGCAGCUGUUCGAUCUUUUCCAAAUUCAACAUAUGCAGAUUUUCAGGUUGGCUAUGUGAAGCUAAGUACCACCAAACAUAAUGUUCUACAACAUGGGAAGUAUUUCUGUAAUAGUUAAUGGACUUUAUUAAGUGGGUUGCUUUAGUUUUCCCAGAGCCACCAUUUCUUUUCCACUAUGAAGGGCGGUUUAUAUAAAAAUAGUAUCUUGGAGUUCCCAUAGUGGCUCCAGGAAUGAAUCUGACUAGCAUCCAUGAAGACUCAGGAUCCCUGGCCUUGCUCAGUGGGUUGAGGAUCCAGCAUUGGCUAGGGGUCAAANNNNNNNNNNNNNNNNNNNNNNNNNNNNNNNNNNUCUUUUUGCCAUUUCUAGGGCCGCUCCCUCGGCAUAUGGAGGUUUCCAGGCUAGGGGUCUAAUCUGAGCUGUAGCCGCUGGCCUACACCAGAGCCACAGCAACGCCAGAUCCAAGCCGCAUCUGCAACCUACACCACAGCUCAUGGCAACACUGGAUCCUUAACUCACUGAGCAAGGCCAGGAAUCGAACUGCAACCUCAUGGUUCCUAGUUGGAUUCGUUAACCACUGAGCCACGACGGGAACUCCUUGAAUUAUUUCUGAGUUGAAAAUACAUAUAUAUUUAAAAGUUUAAGUCUUAUUUAUUUAUUUAUUUAUUUGGCCAUGCUUGCAGCAUACAGAAGUUCACAGGCCUGGAGCCACAGCAGUGACUGCAAGAUCCUUAACCUACUAGGCUGCCAGGGAACUCUCCAAAUUUUAAAUUUUUAUGUGGAUAGUGAUAAAUAUAUGUAAAAUGUAUAAAGUGAAACUUGAUAAGAUUAUAAAGAAAAAUGUAUGUGGCCAUAUUAGGUGAUUUUAACAAGCCUUUCCCAGUGAUUAAGACAAGCAAAAAAAAAAAAAAAAAUCAUCAUGGACUUGGAGAAUAGACUUGUGGCUGCCGGACGGGAGAGGGAGGGAGUGGGAGGAAUCGGGAGCUUGGGGUUAUCAGAUACAACUUACAAUAGAUUUACAAGGAGAUCCUGCUGAGUAGCAUUGAGAACUAUGUCUAGAUACUCAUAUUGCAACAGAACAAAGGGUGGAAAAAAAAAUGUAUACAUGUAAGAAUAACUUGAUCCCCAUGCUGUACAGCGGGAAAAA
This 2116-nucleotide long non-coding RNA is filed under the name Sus scrofa (pig). Its description in RNAcentral is "lncRNA (ENSSSCG00005015225.1)". Lineage: Eukaryota; Metazoa; Chordata; Mammalia; Artiodactyla; Suidae. The record is from RNAcentral.